RNAcentral lists this long non-coding RNA (481 nucleotides) under Daucus carota (carrot). Its description in RNAcentral is "long non-coding RNA (DCAR_LNC006076)". Lineage: Eukaryota; Viridiplantae; Streptophyta; Magnoliopsida; Apiales; Apiaceae. The record is from RNAcentral.
AACCUCUCAAGCUUCUUCCUUUUGCCUAGCCGUCGUGAGGGGCUUCCAUCGGUUUUCACCGGUGGAAAGCCCCAAAUCAAUUAUUUUCUUUGUUUUGCUCUUGUUUUUCAAUAAUACUCCUCCCCAGAUAAGGGUUUCUAUCUUUCAAGAUUGUAUCUUUGUUUGAUAAAAUCCUUUUUGGGUGAGUUUUGUUCCCAAUUUAUUUGGGUUUUGUUUAUUCUCUCCUUGUGAGAGCUUGGUGUGUUUUUUGGUGUGUUUUGGUGUGAUUCAAUGUUCAGGACGUUAGAUCUGCCAGAUUUUCAAGGGAUCGAUUCAGAGGUAAAGAUUUAUAUGGGAUUGCAGUUACGAUCGAUAGCUCAAACGGGUUUUGAUGAAGUUUUGAUGAAAGCUAUAUGUGUAUAUAUCAAUUUCAACAAAUCGCUUGAUUGUGUCUUUAUAAAGACUAGAUUAAUCAGCGAUAUGAUCUGUUUUAUGUUUGUUC